This 539-nucleotide ribosomal RNA is filed under the name uncultured archaeon. RNAcentral describes it as "bacterial SSU rRNA". It matches the Rfam family "Archaeal small subunit ribosomal RNA", at positions 1 to 517 of the family's 1478-position model. The record is from RNAcentral.
AUUCCGGUUGAUCCUGGCGGACCCUACUGCUAUCGGGGUGGGACUAAGACAUGCGAGUCGAGCGUCUCUAGUUAUGGUGAGACGCGGCAGACGGCUCAGUAACACGCGGCUAACCUACCCUCAGGACAGGGAUAAACCCGGGAAACUGGGGCUAAUACCUGAUAGGCGGGGGCACCUGGAAUGGUUCUUCACCCAAAGGGCUUUGCAAGCAUGCUUUUCAAAGUCGCCUGGGGAUGGGGCCGCGUCCGAUCAGGUUGUUGGUGAGGUAACGGCUCACCAAGCCUAUAACCGGUACGGGCCGUGAGAGCGGUAGCCCGGAGAUGGGCACUGAGACAAGGGCCCAGGCCCUACGGGGCGCAGCAGUCGCGAAAACUCCGCAAUGCACGAAAGUGUGACGGGGCUACCCCGAGUGCCGUCCGCUGAGGAUGGCUUUUUCUCGGUGUAACUAGCCGAGGGAAUAAGGAGAGGGCAAGACUGGUGUCAGCCGCCGCGGNAAUACCAGCUCUCCGAGUGGUANGGAUGAUUAUUGGCUUAAAGCG